CCUACGGGUGGCAGCAGUGAGGAAUAUUGGUCAAUGGCCGGAAGGCUGAACCAGCCAUGCCGCGUGAAGGUCAGUGCCCUAUGGGCGUUAAACUUCUUUUGUGCGGGAGCAAUAAUGGUCACGUGUGGCCAGACGAGAGUACCGUACGAAUAAGCAUCGGCUAACUCCGUGCCCGCAGCCGCGGUAAUACGGGUGAAGCAAGCGUUAUCCGGAUUUAUUGGGUUUAAAGGGUGCGUAGGCUGUGAGGUAAGGCCGCGGUGAAAUGCCCCGGCUCAACGGGGUGAAGUGCCAUUGAUACUGCCUUGCUGGAAUGCGGAUGCCGUGGGAGGAAUGUGUGGUGUAGCGGUGAAAUGCAUAGAUAUCACACAGAACACCGAUUGUGAAGGCAUCUCGCGGAUCCGCGAUUGACGCUGAUGCACGAAAGCGUGGGUAUCAAACAGGAUUAGAUACCCCAGUAGUC
RNAcentral lists this ribosomal RNA (460 nucleotides) under uncultured bacterium. RNAcentral describes it as "partial 16S ribosomal RNA". It matches the Rfam family "Bacterial small subunit ribosomal RNA", at positions 338 to 795 of the family's 1533-position model. The record is from RNAcentral.